Molecule: ribosomal RNA, 898 nt
Filed under: Levilactobacillus brevis
Lineage: Bacteria; Bacillati; Bacillota; Bacilli; Lactobacillales; Lactobacillaceae
Description: bacterial SSU rRNA
Rfam family: Bacterial small subunit ribosomal RNA
Source: RNAcentral
GAGCUUCCGUUGAAUGACGUGCUUGCACUGAUUUCAACAAUGAAGCGAGUGGCGAACUGGUGAGUAACACGUGGGGAAUCUGCCCAGAAGCAGGGGAUAACACUUGGAAACAGGUGCUAAUACCGUAUAACAACAAAAUCCGCAUGGAUUUUGUUUGAAAGGUGGCUUCGGCUAUCACUUCUGGAUGAUCCCGCGGCGUAUUAGUUAGUUGGUGAGGUAAAGGCCCACCAAGACGAUGAUACGUAGCCGACCUGAGAGGGUAAUCGGCCACAUUGGGACUGAGACACGGCCCAAACUCCUACGGGAGGCAGCAGUAGGGAAUCUUCCACAAUGGACGAAAGUCUGAUGGAGCAAUGCCGCGUGAGUGAAGAAGGGUUUCGGCUCGUAAAACUCUGUUGUUAAAGAAGAACACCUUUGAGAGUAACUGUUCAAGGGUUGACGGUAUUUAACCAGAAAGCCACGGCUAACUACGUGCCAGCAGCCGCGGUAAUACGUAGGUGGCAAGCGUUGUCCGGAUUUAUUGGGCGUAAAGCGAGCGCAGGCGGUUUUUUAAGUCUGAUGUGAAAGCCUUCGGCUUAACCGGAGAAGUGCAUCGGAAACUGGGAGACUUGAGUGCAGAAGAGGACAGUGGAACUCCAUGUGUAGCGGUGGAAUGCGUAGAUAUAUGGAAGAACACCAGUGGCGAAGGCGGCUGUCUAGUCUGUAACUGACGCUGAGGCUCGAAAGCAUGGGUAGCGAACAGGAUUAGAUACCCUGGUAGUCCAUGCCGUAAACGAUGAGUGCUAAGUGUUGGAGGGUUUCCGCCCUUCAGUGCUGCAGCUAACGCAUUAAGCACUCCGCCUGGGGAGUACGACCGCAAGGUUGAAACUCAAAGGAAUUGACGGGGGCCCGCACAAGC